GACGAACGCUGGCGGCGUGCUUAACACAUGCAAGUCGAGCGGUAAGGCCCUUUCGGGGGUACACGAGCGGCGAACGGGUGAGUAACACGUGGGUGACCUGCCCUCAGCUCCGGGAUAAGCCUGGGAAACCGGGUCUAAUACUGGAUAUUACUCCAUGACGCAUGUUGUGGGGUGGAAAGCCUUGUGCGGCUGAGGAUGGGCCCGCGGCCUAUCAGCUUGUUGGUGGGGUGAUGGGCCACCAAGGCGACGACGGGUAGCCGGCCUGAGAGGGCGACCGGCCACACUGGGACUGAGACACGGCCCAGACUCCUACGGGAGGCAGCAGUGGGGAAUCUUGCGCAAUGGGCGAAAGCCUGACGCAGCGACGCCGCGUGAGGGAUGACGGCCUUCGG
Molecule: ribosomal RNA, 392 nt
Filed under: uncultured bacterium
Lineage: Bacteria
Description: bacterial SSU rRNA
Rfam family: Bacterial small subunit ribosomal RNA
Source: RNAcentral